RNAcentral lists this ribosomal RNA (409 nucleotides) under archaeon enrichment culture clone R3-1e8. RNAcentral's name for it is "bacterial SSU rRNA". It matches the Rfam family "Archaeal small subunit ribosomal RNA", at positions 81 to 490 of the family's 1478-position model. The record is from RNAcentral.
GCGUACUGCUCAGUAACACGUGGAUAAUCUGCCCUAGAGUCUCGCAUAACUCCGGGAAACUGGAGAUAAUUCCUGAUAUACCAUAUGAUACUGGAAUGUUCUGUGGUCCAAAGCUCCGGCGCCUUAGGAUGAAUCUGCGGCCUAUCAGGUUGUAGUGGGUGUAAUGUACCUACUAGCCUACGACGGGUACGGGUUGUGAGAGCAAGAGCCCGGAGAUGGAUUCUGAGACAUGAAUCCAGGCCCUACGGGGCGCAGCAGGCGCGAAAACUUUACAAUGCGGGAAACCGCGAUAAGGGGAUACUGAGUGCCAGCAUCUUAUGUUGGCUGUCCGCAUGUAUAAAUAGCAUGUGUUAGCAAGGGCCGGGCAAGACCGGUGCCAGCCGCCGCGGUAACACCGGCGGCCCGAGUG